GACGAACGCUGGCGGCGUGCUUAACACAUGCAAGUCGAACGAUGAUCAGGAGCUUGCUCCUGUGAUUAGUGGCGAACGGGUGAGUAACACGUGAGUAACCUGCCCCUGACUCUGGGAUAAGCGUUGGAAACGACGUCUAAUACUGGAUACGACUGCCGGCCGCAUGGUCUGGUGGUGGAAAGAUUUUUUGGUUGGGGAUGGACUCGCGGCCUAUCAGCUUGGUGGUGAGGUAAUGGCUCACCAAGGCGACGACGGGUAGCCGGCCUGAGAGGGUGACCGGCGACACUGGGACUGAGACACGGCCCAGACUCCUACGGGAGGCAGCAGUGGGGAAUAUUGCACAAUGGGCGAAAGCCUGAUGCAGCAACGCCGCGUGAGGGAUGACGGCCUUCGGGUUGUAAACCUUUUUUAGUAGGGAAGAAGCGAAAGUGACGGUACCUGCAGAAAAAGCACCGGCCAACUACGUGCCAGCCGCCGCGGUAA
Molecule: ribosomal RNA, 483 nt
Filed under: uncultured bacterium
Lineage: Bacteria
Description: partial 16S ribosomal RNA
Rfam family: Bacterial small subunit ribosomal RNA
Source: RNAcentral